AUAUUUUCCCCUUUACAGCCAAUAUUCCCUAUUUAUACAAGUCCAAGCUAAUUGUAUAAAUAGGGAUUAUUGGCUGUAAAGGGGAAAUUAU
Non-coding RNA from Pelobates cultripes (western spadefoot toad), 91 nucleotides. The record is from the annotation of a GenBank genome assembly. Lineage: Eukaryota; Metazoa; Chordata; Amphibia; Anura; Pelobatidae.